AUAGUACAAGUUUAUAUAUCAGGAUAAAAAAAACAAAUAUUGCCUUUCAAAGGGCUUAUUACUUAAAAUAUAGUGCAACAGACUAAACUAAAAGCUCAUAAUGGAAAAUUUAGCAAGCAACAAGUUAAAAAAACAGUGUGAGCAAAAAGAAGAUUUGGAACAUAAAUACUAACCACAAGCAGAAGUACCACUCUGAGAUGCAAUAUGCUUUGUUUGGUUGCAUCAUGAGUUUCUCCCAAUGCCUCAAGAGCCUUCAACAUAAGCAUCAACCCAUGUUGCUUUAUGGUCAAUUCCCCUAGAGCCCCAUCCAAUUCCAAAGUUAUCUGCAAUGCUCUAUAUUUUGGUCAGCUUUGGACAAAAAAGCAUGCUCAAAACCUGUGAUAUACCCCGGUGUCACGUCGAGCUUUUAUAAGCAAUUUCAUCCAUGGUCAAAGAGGCACCUCUAUUUGGCACAUAUCGGAACUUCAAACUUUUUCUUUAGUAAGUCGUUCUACCUUGUCUCAUUUUUACUCCGCAAACAACUUAAUGUGGUAUUAUUACUACUAAGACCAUAUACUGUGUGUGUGACAGAUAAUAACAAUGCAACAGCAUACUCUGUGUGUGAUAGAUAAUAACACAAUGAAACAGCAUAUAUCAUUGACAAUAUUUUAAAAGAAAUUAGAUUAUUGAUGCAGAAUUCGAUUUCAAAUCAAAAUUCACCUAUAAUAGGAAAAGAAAUCAAUUACGUAAAAGAAACUAAAGAAAGUGAUAGCACCCAUCUGAAAUCAAAAUUUUACUUGAGCAUAAAAAAACAGUUGAAAGAUAUUGUCAUACACAUUUUGUAGCUGCUUUUAGUAUACAUGUUCAUACUUCACACCAAGUGUUCAUAAAUGGACGCUUUAGCAGCCACGGAAGGUUAUAUUAACAGAACAUUUACAUUUAGUGAAGUUUAAGUAACUCUGCCACUGAAAUCCAUAAGUGAGUAAAUAUUUAGCCCUACAAACAGCAAACAAAAGCAUAUGAAUUUUAACUAAGAACAACAAGUAUUACCAAAACAAAUUCUCAGUAAAACAAAUUUAAAAAAAUGCCCAUAGUUUCAAAUUUCAGAAUUUGAUUUUUUUUUACAUAUAUUUUGAAUGACUAAUCACUCUAAAUACCAAAUUAGAUAAACAAUGAUGAUUUAGCAGAAAUAGAGUUGACAGUACAUUAAGAUCAACAAAUGUAAUUUAACAUACAAAUGUAACUGGUCAUUAGAGAUUGAGAGGUAUAAAAAUCGAUGUAUUUCCAUGGGUUGCCCUCGUUCAGAAUAUCAAAUCAAACAAUAAAACCGCAGUCACAAUUAUAGGGAAAAGAAAAAGGGAAACAAUUAAUCAAGGAAUCACCAAAUUAACAUUUAAGAAAGAAUAAGAUGCAUGUCUAGAUCUUACUGUAGUGGGAAAUGCCGCCAAUUAACGACUUCUGCCGCUAGAUUCAAGCUUCUAAUUCUAGCCCCAGAUGAAAAGAGAGCGCAUGCAAGAGGGAAAUCGGGAGUGUGUGGACGGGGGAAUAGAAUGAAACAACGACGUACUAACUAAUAUUAGUAACUUUUAAUAAUUAAUAAACUUUCAAAUACUCCCCAAU
This 1599-nucleotide long non-coding RNA is filed under the name Panax ginseng (ginseng). RNAcentral describes it as "long non-coding RNA (PGIN_LNC009393)". Lineage: Eukaryota; Viridiplantae; Streptophyta; Magnoliopsida; Apiales; Araliaceae. The record is from RNAcentral.